Molecule: ribosomal RNA, 1819 nt
Filed under: Cercomonas sp. ATCC 50367
Lineage: Eukaryota; Cercozoa; Cercomonadida; Cercomonadidae
Description: SSU rRNA
Rfam family: Eukaryotic small subunit ribosomal RNA
Source: RNAcentral
AACCUGGUUGAUCCUGCCAGUAGUCAUCUGCUUGUUAUAAAGAUUAAGCCAUGCAUGUCCAAGUAUAAUAGUAUUCUAUCUUGAAACUGCGAACGGCUCAUUAAAUCAGUUAUAGUUUAUUUGAUGGUACCUUACUACAUGGAUACCUGUGGUAAUUCUCGAGCUAAUACAUGCGUAAAGGCCCGACUCGUGAGGGGAGGGUUGUAUUUAUUAGAUAAAAAACCAAUACGCAGCAAUGCGGUCUUUUGGUGAUUCAUAAUAACUGUGCGAAUCGCAUGGCGCAAGCCGGCGAUAGUUCAUUCAAAUUUCUGCCCUAUCAGCUUUCGACGGUAGUGUAUUGGACUACCGUGGCAUUAACGGGUAACGGAGAAUUAGGGUUCGAUUCCGGAGAGGGAGCCUAGAGAAACGGCUACCACAUCCAAGGAAGGCAGCAGGCGCGCAAAUUACCCAAUCCUGACACGGGGAAGUAGUGACAUGAAAUAACAAUGCUGGGCUCUCACGACGCUCUGUAAUUGGAAUGAGUACAAUUUAAAUCCCUAACCAGGAUCAAUUGGAAGGCAAGUCUGGUGCCAGCAGCCGCGGUAAUUCCAGCUCCAAUAGCGUAUAUUAUAGUUGUUGCGGUUAAAAAGCUCGUAGUUGAAUUUCUGAUCGGACUUGACCGACCCUGCGUCGAAAGACGUGGUGUGUUGGCGCAAGCCGGUCGUACUCCUUCUAGAGAGGCAGCGUCUUACCCUUCACUGGGCGAGGCGUAUGUGCUCUAGAUCUUUUACUUUGAAAAAAUUAGAGUGUUUAAAGCAGGCUUGUGCUGUGAAUACAUUAGCAUGGAAUAAUAAUUUAGGACUUUUUACCUAUUUUGUUGGUUUCUAGGUUUUAAGUAAUGAUUGAUAGGGAUAGUUGGGGGUGCUAGUAUUCAGCGGCCAGAGGUGAAAUUCUUGGAUUCGCUGAAGACUAACUAAUGCGAAAGCAUUCACCAAGGAUGUCUUCUUUAAUCAAGAACGAAAGUUGAGGGAUCGAAGACGAUCAGAUACCGUCGUAGUCUCAACUAUAAACUAUACCAACUAGGGAUCAGUGGAAGUUGAUUUAUCGACUCCAUUGGCACCUUAUGAGAAAUCAAAGUCUUUGGGUUCCGGGGAGAGUAUGGUCGCAAGGCUGAAACUUAAAGGAAUUGACGGAAGGGCACCACCAGGAGUGGAGCCUGCGGCUUAAUUUGACUCAACACGGGGAAACUUACCAGGUCCGGACAUAUGGAGGAUUGACAGAUUGAAGUUCUUUCUUGAUUCUAUGGGUGGUGGUGCAUGCCCGUUCUUAGUUGGUGGAGUGAUUUGUCUGGUUUAUUCCGUUAACGAACGAGACCUCGACCUGCUAAAUAGUCCGGCGUGUUUUCGGACACGUACGUGACUUCUUAGAGGGACUGUCGGUUUUUAGCCGAAGGAAGCUCGAGGCAAUAACAGGUCUGUGAUGCCCUUAGAUGUUCUGGGCCGCACGCGCGCUACACUGAUACGUUCAUCGAGCUUAUUACCUGGACUGAGAGGUCUGGGCAAUCUUUUCAAUGCGUAUCGUGCUGGGGAUAGAUUAUUGUAAUUAUUAAUCUUCAACGAGGAAUUCCUAGUAAACGCGAGUCAUCAGCUCGCAUUGAUUACGUCCCUGCCCUUUGUACACACCGCCCGUCGCUGCUACCGAUUGAACGGAUUAGUAAGCUUCACGGAUCGCUGCACGAGAGAGGCAACUUUCCCGUGUGGUGAAAAGUGACGCACACUUGCUCGUUUAGAGGAAGCAAAAGUCGUAACAAGGUAUCCGUAGGUGAACCUGCAGAAGGAUC